GGAAUCGCUAGUAAUCGCGGAUCAGAAUGCCGCGGUGAAUACGUUCCCGGGUCUUGUACACACCGCCCGUCACACCAUGGGAGUCGGAAAUGCCCGAAGUCUGUGACCCAACCGCGAGGAGGGAGCAGCCGAAGGCAGGUCGGAUGACUGGGGUGAAGUCGUAACAAGGUAAC
Molecule: ribosomal RNA, 173 nt
Filed under: uncultured bacterium
Lineage: Bacteria
Description: partial 16S ribosomal RNA
Rfam family: Bacterial small subunit ribosomal RNA
Source: RNAcentral